AAUCCAUGCAUUGGACAUUUUUGAAUUAAGUUUUUAAAUCGUUCCCAAGCUUCAUACAGUGUUUAAUCCUUAGAUUGCUGAUAAUAUGUGAUGUCAUUUCUAUGCUU
Gossypium hirsutum (cotton) is the source of this 107-nucleotide non-coding RNA. Lineage: Eukaryota; Viridiplantae; Streptophyta; Magnoliopsida; Malvales; Malvaceae. The record is from Rfam.